RNAcentral lists this ribosomal RNA (305 nucleotides) under uncultured bacterium. RNAcentral describes it as "bacterial SSU rRNA". It matches the Rfam family "Bacterial small subunit ribosomal RNA", at positions 336 to 656 of the family's 1533-position model. The record is from RNAcentral.
UUCCUACGGGACGCAGCAGUGGGGAAUAUUGGGCAAUGGGCGCAAGCCUUACCCAGCAAUACCGCGUGAGUGAAGAAGGUCUUCGGAUUGUAAAGCUCUUUGAUCAGGGACGAACAGAUGACGGUACCUGAAGAACAAGCCCCGGCUAACUACGUGCCAGCAGCCGCGGUAAUACGUAGGUGGCAAGCGUUGUCCGGAUUUACUGGGUGUAAAGGGCGUGUAGCCGGGUUGACAAGUCAGAUGUGAAAUCCUGCGGCUUAACCGCAGAGCUGCAUUUGAAACUGUUGAUCUUGAGUACUGGAGAG